This 64-nucleotide transfer RNA is filed under the name Loxodonta africana (African savanna elephant). It matches the Rfam family "tRNA". From Rfam's summary of the family: Transfer RNA (tRNA) molecules are approximately 80 nucleotides in length. Their secondary structure includes four short double-helical elements and three loops (D, anti-codon, and T loops). The record is from Rfam by way of RNAcentral. Lineage: Eukaryota; Metazoa; Chordata; Mammalia; Proboscidea; Elephantidae.
GUUUCUGUAGCCCAGCAGUUGACUACUAAUCUAAUGGUUGGUGGUUUGAAUCCAUCCAGAGGCA